Molecule: non-coding RNA, 149 nt
Organism: Pelobates cultripes (western spadefoot toad)
Lineage: Eukaryota; Metazoa; Chordata; Amphibia; Anura; Pelobatidae
Source: the annotation of a GenBank genome assembly
GCUGACACGUCCCGGCCAAUCUCCAGCAGACCCUCCCUCCCAGACCUUCCUACUUCCUGGACAGCAUCCAUGUUUCAAUAUGGAUGCUGUCCAUAUUGUAGGAGGGUCUGGGAGGGAGGGUCCGCUGGAGAUUGGCCGGGACGUGUCAG